Molecule: long non-coding RNA, 1198 nt
Organism: Lagopus muta (rock ptarmigan)
Lineage: Eukaryota; Metazoa; Chordata; Aves; Galliformes; Phasianidae
Exons: 3
Source: RefSeq, a predicted model, not a curated record
CCUUCCCUCCCUCUGCUCUGAUUGGCUGUGCCCGUCCCGAGGCGGUUUGCACCGCGGUUCCUCACAGCACCUGCUCCCCAAACCGCGCUGUUUAUCCGCGGUAAAACUGCUGAGCUCUGUGAGAUCGGGAUUUGCAACGUUGUUUGUAGUGAGAAGACGUUACCUAAAAUGUCACAGGAGAAAAGAAAACCUUACUGAUGUUGCGUUUAUCUCGGUCCCCCCCAGCUGCAGAGGGGCACGAGCAGCACGCAGCCCUCCUGCUGUGCUCCUCAGGCUGCGAGGAGAGACCUGCAGCGCUCUGCAGACUACAACCCCGCCUCACCGCCUCGGCUCAUAGCUCUCGGCAGCAUUUGUGAUUCAUAGCAGUCAUCAAAGUGAUAAUAAACUCAUUCACAAUACUAACAAACAUGGGGCUCCCAGUUAUUUACGAGGCAAAUUCACUGCAAUGCUGGGCAGUGGAACAGGGGAGAAUCAAGAUGGUGUUGAUUGAUAAAUUGACAGGUUAAUUUACAAGUGGAUAAUAGGAGUUAGACCCAGAGGGAGCGGCUGCCGGCCCGUGCUCUAGCUUGGUUGCACUGCCAUCUGUCUCGUGCCUGGGAAUCUGCAGGAGCAGCGCCGGUUGGGCUGAGAUGCGAUGAGAUGCGAUGAGAUGCGCGCCCGCUCUUCCGAAAUUGAAGACAAAGAUCCCGAUUUACAGCAAUUUGAAUUUGCUUGCUGUUUCGGCACAGCGCAGCGGACACCCCCUCGUUGCUCCCUUUCACCUCCCUGCCACCCAAAUGCUGCAGCCUUAAAGAAAUGCCAGCAAUAUUUCCUGGCUUUAAAACGUGGAGUGUUUCUAGGCUCCUGCAGUAGUUUUGCUUUGAUUUUUACAGAGGAGAAGAAAAAUAUUUUUGUAGGAUAUAGUGGUGUGUAGGGGGCUGUGCUGUUUUUUCUUUGCUUCAACUUUGCUUUAAAAGGGAUUGUGUUGUAAUUUUUCUAUUUAAAAUCCACAUGAAUUAUAUUUUAAAAGAAUUUUGAAAGAAAUAAGACGUUUUUCUCACUUUUUAAUGUAUUUUCCUUCCUGAAAAUAUAUACAUUUCACUGAUCCCUGUCUGGCUGACAGUAAAUCUAGCUUUGCAGCCAAGUAUUUCUUGUGUUUAAUUGGCAACAUUGAAUAACUUCUGUGAGUCUUCUCAUUUUUGUAAUCCCUGAGAGCCAU